Molecule: long non-coding RNA, 147 nt
Organism: Diprion similis
Lineage: Eukaryota; Metazoa; Arthropoda; Insecta; Hymenoptera; Diprionidae
Exons: 3
Source: RefSeq, a predicted model, not a curated record
AAAAAUUAUUUUACCGGGAAUGAACUUUUAUUAAAACUAGCUUUAAAACCCUCGCUCGCUAAAGCUCGCUCGGGGUCGGAGGCCUGGUGUGGCUGGUUUUUGUGCUCGUGCGCUCGCUGCGCUCGCUAACUCGUUGUCAGUGUUUUA